UACGUAGGGGGCAAGCGUUGUCCGGAUUUAUUGGGCGUAAAGAGCGUGUAGGCGGCUGGGUAGGUCCGCUGUGAAAACUCGAGGCUUAACCUCGAGACGUCGGUGGAAACCAUCCAGCUAGAGUCCGGAAGAGAAGAGUGGAAUUCCUGGUGUAGCGGUGAAAUGCGCAGAUAUCAGGAAGAACACCCGUGGCGAAAGCGGCUCUCUGGGACGGUACUGACGCUGAGACGCGAAAGCGUGGGGAGCGAACAGG
RNAcentral lists this ribosomal RNA (253 nucleotides) under uncultured bacterium. RNAcentral's name for it is "partial 16S ribosomal RNA". It matches the Rfam family "Bacterial small subunit ribosomal RNA", at positions 524 to 776 of the family's 1533-position model. The record is from RNAcentral.